RNAcentral lists this ribosomal RNA (253 nucleotides) under uncultured bacterium. RNAcentral describes it as "partial 16S ribosomal RNA". It matches the Rfam family "Bacterial small subunit ribosomal RNA", at positions 524 to 776 of the family's 1533-position model. The record is from RNAcentral.
UACGGAGGGUGCAAGCGUUGUCCCGAUUUAUUGGGUUUAAAGGGUGCGUAGGCGGCCCGUUAAGUCAGCGGUGAAAUCCCGGGGCUCAACCCCGGAACUGCCGUUGAUACUGGCGGGCUUGAGUUCGGUGAAGGCGGGCGGAACUGGCGGUGUAGCGGUGAAAUGCUUAGAUACCGCCAAGAACCCCGAUUGCGUAGGCAGCUCGCUGUGCCGAAACUGACGCUGAGGCACGAAAGCGUGGGGAGCGAACAGG